Molecule: ribosomal RNA, 749 nt
Filed under: Calocybe cf. graveolens AB13-06-14
Lineage: Eukaryota; Fungi; Basidiomycota; Agaricomycetes; Agaricales; Lyophyllaceae
Description: eukaryotic LSU rRNA
Rfam family: 5.8S ribosomal RNA (bases 333-486)
Source: RNAcentral
UCUUGGUCAAUUAGAGGAAGUAAAAGUCGUAACAAGGUUUCCGUAGGUGAACCUGCGGAAGGAUCAUUACAGAAUAAACUAUGCUUGACUGUUGCUGGCUCUUAUGAGCAUUUGUGCACGUCUAGCAAGUCUUUAUCCACCUGUGAACUUUUUGUAGAUAUGAAAACAUCACUUCGAAAUAAAUUCGGUUUGGAGGAUUUGCAAUGGUGUGUGUACCCAUACAUAACUUGCUAUCCUUGGAUGCCUUUCGAUCUAUGUAUCUUUAUUAUACCCUUAAAAAAAAGUAAUAGAAUGUAUACUUAUUGGUCACAUUGACCAUUAAAACAAAAUACAACUUUCAACAACGGAUCUCUUGGCUCUCGCAUCGAUGAAGAACGCAGCGAAAUGCGAUAAGUAAUGUGAAUUGCAGAAUUCAGUGAAUCAUCGAAUCUUUGAACGCACCUUGCGCUCCUUGGUAUUCCGAGGAGUAUGCCUGUUUGAGUGUCAUUAAAUUAAAUCAAGCCUUUACUUUUGUAAAGGUUUGGACUAUGGGGGUUUUGCAGGUUUUGUGUUAAAAAUCUGCUCCUCUUAAAAGCAUUAGCGGAAACCAUUGUGGAAAAGUUUCCUGGUGUGAUAAUUAUCUACGCCACACUUUCUUCACUUGAAAGGUUUUGCUUCUAACUGUUGUGUCGGCAACAACUCUGAACAAUUUGACCUCAAAUCAGGUAGGACUACCCGCUGAACUUAAGCAUAUCAAUAAGCCGGAGGAA